AUGGUGAUACAUUCAUCUGUCUUAAGAUCCCUGCUGAUCUGCUCAUGGUCAAACUCAUGGAAAGAGUUGAGAGUGGGGCACCUUGUUCCUGCAUCCUCAAAGGAGCAUCUUGUUCCAGAGUUAAAAGGUUCCAGAGUUAAAAGGUACCUGUACCAUUUAGCGGCUUGUUCACUCAAAGAUCCAUCUUUUCUGGAGCCUGAGGAUGAUUGGAGGUGAAAGGUGUAAGCCAUACUCUGCUCAACUCCAGUCUGAAACUAAGGUUUAAAGAAAGAACACGUACUUAACACACGGGUAAGUAAGUAUCCAUUCACGUACUUGUGUUAAAUAUCAGACUAACUAUAUAAAUACAAUGUUCUAAGUCCGUUUUAGUAAGAACCCUAAACUGUUCUUUUUCUCUGCAGGAAUCCAACUCUUGGAGGACAUCAGAAGUGGAAUUUUCUUAUACAACCUACCUAUUCAAAUUAGCAUAUAAUCUUUCUAGCCUUUCUAAAUAAAUAAAGGGAUUUUUUUGUAAACCUUGACUGCUUCUGUGUUUGGAUGGACUGGACCUAGGUGAGCAGGAGAUAAUAUGAUCCCAGGGAGAUUGUUACUUGCUUUGCCCUACUUAGCAUAACAGUUUGCCGCAUAUUAGUCUAACCCAGGAAAGCAUCCAAAGAGCCUCCUAGACCUUUAAGGAGUUUUCCUUCCUAUCGAUGCUUGGCCUAGUUGUCCUUGCUGGGUUUGAGUGACCCUUUACGGGGAGGAGGAGAACGCCAAAAAGUCCUUUGGAUCAGUCCCAAAGAUGACCAUUUUGUAAAGGUUCUUUAUGUCACAAAGAAUUCAGCGAGAGGAGUUCUCUAGAGGAUGAAGAAAAGCGAAUGCUCCCUCACCGUUGGGGAUGUAAAUUGGCACAACCACCUUGGAAAACAGUAAGGAGGUACCUGAGAAUCCCACUCCUGGGCAUUUAUCUGGACAAAACUAAUUCAAGUAGAUAGACGCACCUGGGUGUUCAUUGCAGCGCCAUUCACAAUGGCCAGACAUGGGAACCUAAAUGUUCAUCUACAGAUGAGAUGGAGAUACGGCACAUACACGUGAGGGGGAUACUGUGUAAAAACUAAUGCCAUUUGCAGCAGCAUAGGUGGAACAUAGGAUACUAAAUGAAGUAAGCCAGAAAGAAAAAGAUAAAUAACAUGUAGCACUUGAAGCUUGUGGAAUCUAAAAUAAUGGGACAGAUGACCCUAUCUAAAAAGACAGCUGAAAACCAAUCACAGCCAAAGCCAGCAGACUUGGGGUUCCCAUGGGGGGAAGAGGGAGUAGGAUGGGUAGGCAUUUGAGUGGGUUUGGGUGCAAACUUAAGUUUGGAAUGGGUGGGCGGUGGGGCCCUACUGUACAGCACAGGGAAAUGUGUAUGUUGGGUCUCUGCCACACAACAGAAUUUGAAACACUGUAAGUCAACCGUACUUUUAACAGUAAAAGGAGUUCCCAUUCUGCUGCAGGACUAGGAACCACAAGGUUGUGGAUUUGAUCCCUGGCCUCAACGAGUGAGUCAUUACCUUAAGCUGGGAUGGGUGUUGCUGGUGUGGCCAUGGCUGUGGUGUAGGCCUGCAGCUACAGCUCUGAUUCAGUCCCUAGCCUGGAAGCUUCCAUAUGCUGCAGGUGUUGCCCUAAGAAAAGCAAGAAAGGAGUUCCCCUCAUGGCUCAGUGGAAAUGAAACUGACUAGUAACCAUGAGAACACAAGUUCGAUCCCUGGCCUCACUCGGUGGGUUAAGGACCCAGGCUUGCUGUGGCUGUGAUGUAGGCUGGUGGCUACAGCUCUGAUUCGACCCCUAGCCUAGGAAGCGCUGUAUGCCACAGGUGCAGCCCUAAGAAGACAAAAAACAAACAAAAAAAAGAAAAGCAAGAAAAUAAUUCAGUGAGAGGAGUUCCUGUCACGGCUCAGUGGAAGUGAAUCUGACUAGGAACCAUGAGGUUUUGGGUUCCAUCCCUGGCCUUGCUCAAUCCGGCGUUGCUGUGAGCUGUGGUGUAGGCUGCAGAUGUGGCUUGGAUCCCGCAUUGCUGUGGCUGUGAUGUAGGCCGGUGGCUACAGCUUCCAAUUAGACCCCUAGGCUGGGAACUUCCAUAUGCCGCAAGAGCAGCCCUAAAAAGACCAAAAAAAAAAAAAAAAAAAAAAAAAAAAUUGAGAGACAAAGGUGUUAGGGGCAAGAAGAUGGAAUGUGGUCCCCAUAGAGCAGCCCUGGAGAAACACCACAGAGUAGGCCACCUCAAGGCUAGAGGCCUGUACCGUAGAACUAGUAGACUUGGACAAAGGCACUAGGAGCCAGUGAGGCUUGGCAAUUAAGGAUAAAAAGAUUAGCUCUUUGGGGGGCAAAGUUUUGUAUGUCUUUUUAGGGCUGUACCUGUGGCACCCAAUGGAGGUUCCCAGGCUAGGAUCGAAUCUGAGCUAUAGCCACGGACCUACUCCACAGCCACAGCGAUGUCAGAUCUGAGCUGCAUCUACCACCUACACCACAGCUCAAGGCAAUGCCAGAUCCUUAACCCACUGAGCAGGGCCAGGGAUCGAACCUGCAUCCUCAUGGAUGCUAGUCAGAUUCAUUUCUGCUGAGCCACAACAGGAACUCUCAUGUGAGGUUUAGAAUACAUUUUGUGGGAGUUCCCUUCGUGCCUCAGUGGUUAACCAACCCCACUAAGGAUCCAUGAGGAUAUGGGUUCAAUCCCUGGCCCUGCUCAGUGGGUUAAGGAUCUGGCGUUGUCAUGAGCUGUGGGGUAAGUUGCAGACACAGCUCAGAUCCUGCAUUGCUGUUGCUGUGGCAUAGGCUGGCAGCUGCAGCUUCAAUUUGACCUCUAGCCUGGGAAUUUCCAUAUGCCUCGGGUGCAGCUCUAAAAAGGGGGAAAAUACAUUUUGGGUCCCCACUAUCGUAAAAUAAAGGCAAUUUCACUGAAAGAAAAUUUAUUUCUUGCUCAUUCAAUGGUAGCCAUACAGAAAAAAAUUGUCAAAAGAAAUUUUACAGCCACAAGAAUGAAAGUAUACGAGUCCUGCUGAGACCCAACGGGUUAAGGAUCUGAGUGUCUGGUAGAUAAUGACUGAAGCCUUUGCUCAAGCACUGUUUUCACCAGGUGGCCCAUACCAAUUCAAAUCAAGACUCAGUUGACUUAAGCCAAGAGAUGGAAGAUAUGGGGAUCUCCCAGCGAGGCUCAGGGUUUAACAAACCCAACUAGUAUCCACGCCCUGGCCUCCCUCAGUGGGUUAAGGAUCCGGCAUUGCCAUGAGCUGUGGUGUAGGUCACAGACACGGCUUGGAUCAAGCGUUGCUGUGGCUCUGGUGUAGAGUGCAGAUGAGGCUCAGAUCUAGCAUUCCUCUGGCUGAGGUGUGGGCCAGCAGCUACUGCUCUGAUUUGACCCCUAGCCUGGGACCUUCCAUGGUGCAUCCUUAAAAAAGCAAAAAAAUAAAAGUACACCCGUCGAAAGAAUAUCCUUCCUUUGGCCUUGCUUUGCUGGUAUCAAUGCCAGUGACUUUCCAUGACCUCUUCCACUUCCCUCCAUCUCUGCCACCACAGCCACCCCCACCCAAGCCACCUUCCCCUCUUGCCUGGAGGAUCACUAGAACCUUCUUAUUUUUCCCCAGUAGAUUUUUUUUUUUUUAAAGGCUGCACCCAUAGCAUAUGAAAAUUCCCAGGCUAGAAUCAGAGUUGCAGCAGCCAGCCCACAGCACAGCUCAUGGCAACAUCAGAUCCUUAACCCACUGAGCAGGGCCAGGGAUCAAACCCACAUUCUCAUGGAUAGUAGUUGGGUUCAUUAUCACUGAGCCACAACGGGAACUCCUGCCCAAUAGACCUUAAAGUCAUGAAGGCAAGAUGCAUGUCUAAUUUUGCUCAUUAUUGUCUGCU
This 3864-nucleotide long non-coding RNA is filed under the name Sus scrofa (pig). RNAcentral describes it as "lncRNA (ENSSSCG00045034047.1)". Lineage: Eukaryota; Metazoa; Chordata; Mammalia; Artiodactyla; Suidae. The record is from RNAcentral.